This is a long non-coding RNA of Pipra filicauda (Wire-tailed manakin), 419 nucleotides long. RefSeq lists it as uncharacterized. The transcript is spliced from 3 exons. The record is from RefSeq and is a predicted model, not a curated record. NCBI's taxonomy places the organism in Eukaryota, Metazoa, Chordata, Aves, Passeriformes, Pipridae.
CAUAAAGGAAAUGCACUUAUCUUGAUGGAAAAUAUAAGAGUCCAGAUUUGCCAAGGCCUUCAGUUAUUUUACAAGGUCCGAAACAGAGGGAGGAGGUGCCAGUCAAAACCUUUGAUUUCUUCUGUCUCUCUCAUCUUCCCUCUUUUUUAGAGGUUUCUUGGGAAAUGAGAGGAACACAUAUACAUCAGAUGUGCUGCUUAUAUCUGGGAAGAGAGGACAUAUGUUUCAGGUGGACAGAUACACCAAGGAAAUAUUGGAAGCUGUCACAAGACAAUGAGAAUGACUGAAAAUGGAGCACAUUUUUCUGUAUCUCCAGCCUGCAGAGGAGGAUCCAAUUUCCCAAUUACCUCUUUUGUCUUCAUCCCAACUGCUGCUCCAAUAAUAAACCAAAAUCUUUUUCUAUCAGAUUUCCUCCAGGA